RNAcentral lists this long non-coding RNA (748 nucleotides) under Bos taurus (domestic cattle). Its description in RNAcentral is "long non-coding RNA NONBTAT022681". Lineage: Eukaryota; Metazoa; Chordata; Mammalia; Artiodactyla; Bovidae. The record is from RNAcentral.
ACCGUAUUUAUUGUAUUGAACGGUCAGCACAAAACCUUCAAAAAUUGCCUAGUGCCCCUUGGCUAAAUGUUUGGAGAGGAGAAGUUGAUAUAUUUUAAAGAAUGUUUUGUUAAUGAAAAGGGUACAUAUUUUUGUUUAAAUCAGAAACAAAUUUCAAUUAUUUUAUAUUUCUGUUCUACAACUCUACUUAAAAUAAAAAAAUUGCGGAUAUGCCUGGGUUCCACAGAUGUAAACUAGCAGCCUUAUCACGUGUACCGCAUGAUUGUGGUGGAUAUAGUUAAACUCAGUCCCAAGAGUCUAAUGUCUUGGUUUGGCAUGCACUUAGUCAGUUCAUCACCACUGAAUGUGUGCAGUCAGCCUUAUUCCACACUAUUCCAUAAACACCUAGAAUUGGCCCUGGAAAUGUUAUUACAGAAGGAAGUGAUCAUUUUUAAAAUCAAGCUACCUUCAGGUUAAUUUUCAACAUCGCUUUUUUUUUUUUUUUUUUUCGCUUUUUUUUACUUGCUGCAUUAAAAGCCCCAAAUGUGGAUCAUAAGAGAAUUUUACUUACCAAAGUUUAAAAAAUAUUGUAAUAGGAACUUCUGUUGAAAACUUGGCGAUUUGCACAAUAAGAACUUCUUGGAGAAAAUGCAGUUCCCUCUGCAUUUUUCUUUAGUGAUGAGUGAAGUAUUGCAAUAUAGAAUUAUGAGAGCAUUACUGAAUACAUGUAUUAUAAAAUUGAUACUAUUAUAAACAAAAUCUGAAGCUA